Molecule: ribosomal RNA, 459 nt
Filed under: uncultured bacterium
Lineage: Bacteria
Description: partial 16S ribosomal RNA
Rfam family: Bacterial small subunit ribosomal RNA
Source: RNAcentral
CCUACGGGGGGCAGCAGUGAGGAAUAUUGGUCAAUGGGAGGAAUCCUGAACCAGCCAUGCCGCGUGCAGGACGACGGCUCUACGAGUUGUAAACUGCUUUUGUACCGGGGUAAAAUGCUCUACGAGUAGGGUUUUGAAAGUACGGUACGAAUAAGGAUCGGCUAACUCCGUGCCAGCAGCCGCGGUAAUACGUAGGUGGCGAGCGUUAUCCGGAAUGAUUGGGCGUAAAGGGUGCGUAGGCGGCCUGCUAAGUCUGGAGUGAAAGGUACCGGCUCAACCGGUACAGGCUCUGGAAACUGGCGGGCUAGAGAGCAGGAGAGGGCGGUGGAACUCCAUGUGUAGCGGUAAAAUGCGUAGAUAUAUGGAAGAACACCAGUGGCGAAGGCGGCCGCCUGGCCUGUUACUGACGCUGAGGCACGAAAGCGUGGGGAGCAAAUAGGAUUAGAUACCCGUGUAGUC